AUACGGAGGAUGCAAGCGUUAUCCGGAUUUAUUGGGUUUAAAGGGUGCGUAGGCGGAUGAUUAAGCGUGAGGUGAAAUGCCACUGCUCAACAGUGGAACUGCCUCGCGAACUGGUUGUCUUGAAUGCUCCUGCCGUGGGAGGAAUGUGUGGUGUAGCGGUGAAAUGCAUAGAGAUUACACAGAACACCGAUUGCGAAGGCAUCUCACGAAGGGUUGAUUGACGCUGAGGCACGAAAGCGUGGGGAUCAAACAGGAUUAGAUACCCUGGUAGUCCACGCAGUAAACGAUGAUGGCUAACCGCUGGGCUUAUCAGCUCAGUGGCCAAGCGAAAGCGAUAAGCCAUCCACCUGGGGAGUACGACCGCAAGGUUGAAACUCAAAGGAAUUGACGGGG
This 393-nucleotide ribosomal RNA is filed under the name uncultured bacterium. Its description in RNAcentral is "partial 16S ribosomal RNA". It matches the Rfam family "Bacterial small subunit ribosomal RNA", at positions 523 to 918 of the family's 1533-position model. The record is from RNAcentral.